Molecule: ribosomal RNA, 673 nt
Filed under: uncultured Burkholderiales bacterium
Lineage: Bacteria; Pseudomonadati; Pseudomonadota; Betaproteobacteria; Burkholderiales
Description: bacterial SSU rRNA
Rfam family: Bacterial small subunit ribosomal RNA
Source: RNAcentral
GUAAUGUAUCGGAACGUGCCCAGUAGCGGGGGAUAACUACGCGAAAGCGUGGCUAAUACCGCAUACGCCCUUAGGGGGAAAGGUGGGGAUUCUUCGGAACCUGCCACUAUUGGAGCGGCCGAUAUCGGAUUAGCUAGUUGGUGGGGUAAAGGCCUACCAAGGCGACGAUCCGUAGCUGGUUUGAGAGGACGACCAGCCACACUGGGACUGAGACACGGCCCAGACUCCUACGGGAGGCAGCAGUGGGGAAUUUUGGACAAUGGGGGAAACCCUGAUCCAGCCAUUUCGCGUGUGCGAUGAAGGCCUUCGGGUUGUAAAGCACUUCUGGCGGGGAAGAAAAGCGCCGGGCUAAUACCCUGGCGUGCUGACGGUACCCGCAGAAUAAGCACCGGCUAACUACGUGCCAGCAGCCGCGGUAAUACGUAGGGUGCAAGCGUUAAUCGGAAUUACUGGGCGUAAAGGGUGCGUAGGCGGUUGCGCAAGACAGAUGUGAAAUCCCCGGGCUUAACCUGGGAAUUGCAUUUGUGACUGCGUGGCUAGAGUAUGUCAGAGGGGGGUAGAAUUCCACGUGUAGCAGUGAAAUGCGUAGAUAUGUGGAGGAAUACCGAUGGCGAAGGCAGCCCCCUGGGAUAAUACUGACGCUGAUGCACGAAAGCGUGGGGAGCAAACAGGA